This 30-nucleotide non-coding RNA is filed under the name Rattus norvegicus (Norway rat). Lineage: Eukaryota; Metazoa; Chordata; Mammalia; Rodentia; Muridae. The record is from RNAcentral.
UGCUAUGAACAUAGUCCUAGGUCUCAUCGC